AUUCUUUUGUAGUUCAUAAGCAUGAUGAUUGGGUCUUCAUUCGCAUGUGUGAGAUGUGCCUCCCUCAAACCUUGUUACGACAUAGGCACAUUACCCAUCUGACU
Microcebus murinus (gray mouse lemur) is the source of this 104-nucleotide small nucleolar RNA. The record is from Ensembl. Lineage: Eukaryota; Metazoa; Chordata; Mammalia; Primates; Cheirogaleidae.